RNAcentral lists this ribosomal RNA (497 nucleotides) under uncultured bacterium. RNAcentral's name for it is "partial 16S ribosomal RNA". It matches the Rfam family "Bacterial small subunit ribosomal RNA", at positions 28 to 507 of the family's 1533-position model. The record is from RNAcentral.
GAUGAACGCUGGCGGCGUGCCUAAUACAUGCAAGUCGAGCGAACGGACGAGAAGCUUGCUUCUCUGAUGUUAGCGGCGGACGGGUGAGUAACACGUGGAUAACCUACCUAUAAGACUGGGAUAACUUCGGGAAACCGGAGCUAAUACCGGAUGAUCUUUUGAACCGCAUGGUUCAAAAGUGAAAGACGGUCUUGCUGUCACUUAUAGAUGGAUCCGCGCUGCAUUAGCUAGUUGGUAAGGUAACGGCUUACCAAGGCAACGAUGCAUAGCCGACCUGAGAGGGUGAUCGGCCACACUGGAACUGAGACACGGUCCAGACUCCUACGGGAGGCAGCAGUAGGGAAUCUUCCGCAAUGGGCGAAAGCCUGACGGAGCAACGCCGCGUGAGUGAUGAAGGUCUUCGGAGCGUAAAACUCUGUUAUUAGGGAAGAACAUAUGUGUAAGUAACUGUGCACAUCUUGACGGUACCUAAUCAGAAAGCCACGGCUAACUACGUG